UGUCUUAUAGUUAAUUUAAUAACAUUAAACUGCAAUUUUAAAAUAAGCUUCAGCUUAAGACUU
Molecule: transfer RNA, 63 nt
Filed under: Chilecicada sp. PL492
Lineage: Eukaryota; Metazoa; Arthropoda; Insecta; Hemiptera; Cicadidae
Description: tRNA-Cys
Source: RNAcentral